GGAGGGGGGGCCAGCGUUGUUCGGAAUUAUUGGGCGUAAAGGGCGUGUAGGCGGCUAGGGCAAGUCGGAGGUGAAAGCCCUCGGGCUCAACCGAGGAAUUGCCUCCGAUACUGCUUGGCUUGAGUCCCCGGAGAGGGUAGUGGAAUUCCCAGUGUAGCGGUGAAAUGCGUAGAUAUUGGGAGGAACACCAGUGGCGAAGGCGGCUACCUGGACGGGUACUGACGCUGAGGCGCGAAAGCGUGGGGAGCAAACAGGAUUAGAUACCCUGGUAGUCCACGCUGUAAACGAUGGGCACUUGGUGUUGCGGGUAUCGACCCCUGCAGUGCCAAAGCUAACGCAUUAAGUGCCCCGCCUGGGGAGUACGGUCGCAAAGGCUG
RNAcentral lists this ribosomal RNA (377 nucleotides) under uncultured organism. Its description in RNAcentral is "partial 16S ribosomal RNA". It matches the Rfam family "Bacterial small subunit ribosomal RNA", at positions 525 to 896 of the family's 1533-position model. The record is from RNAcentral.